RNAcentral lists this ribosomal RNA (292 nucleotides) under uncultured bacterium. RNAcentral describes it as "partial 16S ribosomal RNA". It matches the Rfam family "Bacterial small subunit ribosomal RNA", at positions 505 to 796 of the family's 1533-position model. The record is from RNAcentral.
GUGUCAGCAGCCGCGGUAAUACGUAGGUGGCGAGCGUUGUCCGGAAUCAUUGGGCGUAAAGCGCGCGUAGGCGGCUUGCCAGGUCUGAUGUGAAAUCUCGGGGCUCAACCCCAAGCGUGCAUCGGAAACCGGCUUGCUAGAGUCUGGGAGAGGAGAGUGGAAUUCCUGGUGUAGCGGUGAAAUGCGUAGAUAUCAGGAGGAACACCAGUUGCGAAGGCGGCUCUCUGGAACAGUACUGACGCUGAGGCGCGAAAGCUAGGGGAGCGAACAGGAUUAGAUACCCCAGUAGUCC